GACGAACGCUGGCGGCGUGCUUAACACAUGCAAGUCGAGCGAUGAAGCUUCCUUCGGGAAGUGGAUUAGCGGCAGACGGGUGAGUAACACGUGGGCAACCUACCUCGAAGUGGGGGAUAGCCUUCCGAAAGGGAGAUUAAUACCGCAUAAUAUGUCUUUUAUGCAUGUAAGAGAUAUUAAAGAUUUAUUGCUUCGAGAUGGGCCCGCGGCGCAUUAGCUAGUUGGUGAGGUAAGGGCUCACCAAGGCGACGAUGCGUAGCCGACCUGAGAGGGUGAUCGGCCACAUUGGAACUGAGACACGGUCCAGACUCCUACGGGAGGCAGCAGUGGGGAAUAUUGCGCAAUGGGGGAAACCCUGACGCAGCAACGCCGCGUGAGUGAUGAAGGUUUUCGGAUUGUAAAGCUCUGUCUUUAGGGACGAUAAUGACGGUACCUAAGGAGGAAGCCACGGCUAACUACGUGCCAGCAGCCGCAGUAAUAC
RNAcentral lists this ribosomal RNA (481 nucleotides) under uncultured bacterium. RNAcentral describes it as "bacterial SSU rRNA". It matches the Rfam family "Bacterial small subunit ribosomal RNA", at positions 28 to 526 of the family's 1533-position model. The record is from RNAcentral.